Haliotis rubra (blacklip abalone) is the source of this 118-nucleotide long non-coding RNA. RefSeq lists it as uncharacterized. The record is from RefSeq and is a predicted model, not a curated record. Lineage: Eukaryota; Metazoa; Mollusca; Gastropoda; Lepetellida; Haliotidae. The transcript has 3 exons.
CAUUGGCUUACGGCAGUCGUAGCGGUGAGGUGAUCGUAACUCCCACACUUUGUCAUUGGCUUACGGUAGUCGUAGCGCUGAGGCGAUCGUAACUCGCAUACUUUAACAUGGACUUAAG